This 253-nucleotide unclassified non-coding RNA is filed under the name uncultured Ascomycota. RNAcentral's name for it is "sequence contains 5.8S rRNA gene, ITS2, 28S rRNA gene". The stretch from base 1 to 52 matches the Rfam family "5.8S ribosomal RNA", at positions 103 to 154 of the family's 154-position model. Lineage: Eukaryota; Fungi; Ascomycota. The record is from RNAcentral.
AACGCACAUUGCACCCGGUGGUAUUCCGCCGGGUAUGCCUGUCUGAGCGUCAUUUCUACCCUCAAGCAAUGCUUGUUGUUGGCGGUCUGCGUCCCCCCCCGCAGCCGCUGAAAUUCAACGGCGACAGCCCCUGUCCCCCUGUGUAGUAGAACACUUCUCGCAGAGCGGCGACGGCCGGUCGGUCAGCCCCUAAAACUCUUCUUCACAGAACAGAGUUGACCUCAGAUCAGGUAGGAAUACCCGCUGAACUUAA